This 64-nucleotide transfer RNA is filed under the name Apolygus lucorum. RNAcentral's name for it is "tRNA-Pro". Lineage: Eukaryota; Metazoa; Arthropoda; Insecta; Hemiptera; Miridae. The record is from RNAcentral.
CAGUUGAUAGUUUAAUAAAAAUAUUAAUUUUGGAGAUUAAUGAUGAGAAGUUUCUUUCAACUGA